ACCUUUUCCACAGAAGACAAGC
RNAcentral lists this small nuclear RNA (22 nucleotides) under Arabidopsis thaliana (thale cress). Its description in RNAcentral is "snRNA_11790". The record is from RNAcentral. Lineage: Eukaryota; Viridiplantae; Streptophyta; Magnoliopsida; Brassicales; Brassicaceae.